This 454-nucleotide ribosomal RNA is filed under the name uncultured bacterium. RNAcentral describes it as "partial 16S ribosomal RNA". It matches the Rfam family "Bacterial small subunit ribosomal RNA", at positions 28 to 507 of the family's 1533-position model. The record is from RNAcentral.
GAUGAACGCUGACAGAAUGCUUAACACAUGCGAGUCAACUUGAACUUCGGUUUGGGUGGCGGACGGGUGAGUAACGCGUAAAGAACUUGCCUCACAGAUAGGGACAACAUUUGGAAACGAAUGCUAAUACCUGAUAUUAUGAUUAUAUGGCAUCGUAUAAUUAUGAAAGCUAUAUGCGCUGUGAGAGAGCUUUGCGUCCCAUUAGCUAGUUGGAGAGGUAACGGCUCACCAAGGCGAUGAUGGGUAGCCGGCCUGAGAGGGUGAUCGGCCACAGGGGGACUGAGGCACGGCCCUUACUCCUACGGGAGGCAACAGUGGGGAAUAUUGGACAAUGGACCAAGAGUCUGAUCCAGCAAUUCUGUGUGCACGAUGAAGUUUUUCGGAAUGUAAAGUGCUUUCAGUUGGGAAGAAAAAAAUGACGGUACCAACAGAAGAAGUGACGGCUAAAUACGUG